GAUGAACGCUGGCGGCGUGCCUAAUACAUGCAAGUCGAGCGAACGGACGAGAAGCUUGCUUUUCUGAUGUUAGCGGCGGACGGGUGAGUAACACGUGGAUAACCUACCUAUAAGACUGGGAUAACUUCGGGAAACCGGAGCUAAUACCGGAUAAUAUUUUGAACCGCAUGGUUCAAAAGUGAAAGACGGUCUUGCUGUCACUUAUAGAUGGAUCCGCGCUGCAUUAGCUAGUUGGUAAGGUAACGGCUUACCAAGGCAACGAUGCAUAGCCGACCUGAGAGGGUGAUCGGCCACACUGGAACUGAGACACGGUCCAGACUCCUACGGGAGGCAGCAGUAGGGAAUCUUCCGCAAUGGGCGAAAGCCUGACGGAGCAACGCCGCGUGAGUGAUGAAGGUCUUCGGAUCGUAAAACUCUGUUAUUAGGGAAGAACAUAUGUGUAAGUAACUGUGCACAUCUUGACGGUACCUAAUCAGAAAGCCACGGCUAACUACGUGCCAGCAGCCGCGGUAAUACGUAGGUGGCAAGCGUUAUCCGGAAUUAUUGGGCGUAAAGCGCGCGUAGGCGGUUUUUUAAGUCUGAUGUGAAAGCCCACGGCUCAACCGUGGAGGGUCAUUGGAAACUGGAAAACUUGAGUGCAGAAGAGGAAAGUGGAAUUCCAUGUGUAGCGGUGAAAUGCGCAGAGAUGUGGAGGAACACCAGUGGCGAAGGCGACUUUCUGGUCUGUAACUGACGCUGAUGUGCGAAAGCGUGGGGAUCAAACAGGAUUAGAUACCCUGGUAGUCCACGCCGUAAACGAUGAGUGCUAAGUGUUAGGGGGUUUCCGCCCCUUAGUGCUGCAGCUAACGCAUUAAGCACUCCGCCUGGGGAGUACGACCGCAAGGUUGAAACUCAAAGGAAUUGACGGGGGCCCGCACAAGCGGUGGAGCAUGUGGUUUAAUUCGAAGCAACGCGAAGAACCUUACCAAGUCUUGACAUCCUUUGACAACUCUAGAGAUAGAGCCUUCCCCUUCGGGGGACAAAGUGACAGGUGGUGCAUGGUUGUCGUCAGCUCGUGUCGUGAGAUGUUGGGUUAAGUCCCGCAACGAGCGCAACCCUUAAGCUUAGUUGCCAUCAUUAAGUUGGGCACUCUAAGUUGACUGCCGGUGACAAACCGGAGGAAGGUGGGGAUGACGUCAAAUCAUCAUGCCCCUUAUGAUUUGGGCUACACACGUGCUACAAUGGACAAUACAAAGGGCAGCGAAACCGCGAGGUCAAGCAAAUCCCAUAAAGUUGUUCUCAGUUCGGAUUGUAGUCUGCAACUCGACUACAUGAAGCUGGAAUCGCUAGUAAUCGUAGAUCAGCAUGCUACGGUGAAUACGUUCCCGGGUCU
This 1372-nucleotide ribosomal RNA is filed under the name uncultured bacterium. RNAcentral's name for it is "bacterial SSU rRNA". It matches the Rfam family "Bacterial small subunit ribosomal RNA", at positions 28 to 1381 of the family's 1533-position model. The record is from RNAcentral.